Molecule: RNA transcript, 1792 nt
Organism: Spinacia oleracea (spinach)
Lineage: Eukaryota; Viridiplantae; Streptophyta; Magnoliopsida; Caryophyllales; Amaranthaceae
Exons: 4
Source: RefSeq, a predicted model, not a curated record
CUUUCAUAAAAUUCGGUCACUUGUGGUAUAUCUAUUCUUUAGCCCCCUUAAUUUCCCUCUAUUUUAUUUUCUCGUAUUCCAUGAGACCAUAACUAAUAACUUUUCAGGGUUAACUUGGAAACAAUAAAAAGAGAUCGAGAAGAAGAUGGCAGGGGAAACAGAAACAGAUCUCGGUAAACUUGACAACAUGUCAGAACUUCUGAUGUCUGGAGACAAGUUAAGGAAACUGGCUUUGCUGAUGCACCUACAAGAGGCACAGAGCAUGCGGACCAUAAAAUUUAGAUCAGUACAUCACCAGAUACAGUCCCUCCGAGACUCCCGAAAGACCUACGAGUCCACAAUUGCCAUCCUGGAUGAAGCUGAGCAGCUUAAGGGAAAACUUCCCCUUAAGCGUAAGCGUGAUCUUCAACAGGAUGAUAAGGUGGAUGCCACUAUUUCCUCUGCUAUUAAUCAUCUGAAAGAGUACGCCCACCUUUCAGUUGGUACAGCUUGUAGAACUGUGCCUAGCUUCAACCUUCGCCACGAGUACCUGAAGAAGAUCCGAGACUUUAUGGGGGAAACGAAGAAGGCGUUGGACGCGAUUCAGCCAAGCUUCACUACAACUGCGGUAGCCAUGAUCAUGGAUGCCGAAGUAAUCGUCAAAGACUUGCUUGAACAUAAACAACUAUCGAUCGAUUUUAUGACGUCACGUCAAAACACUUAUAGUUUUAAGAAUUCCAGAUUUUGGAGGGGGAAUCUCCGUCGGCAUCCUGCAGAUAAUUACAUGUUUGAAAACGUGGUUGUCUAGUACAGGGCUAAGGUCGUUCAGCAAAGGAUUAGUGAGGGGAGAAAUCCGAGUAUUAGGGAGUCGGAAGCAGGUGGCGUAAUGACGGUAGCAGAGACGGAAGAACAAGUAAUAAUGGAAAAUAUGGAGAUUUAUAGUGAAAUCGCGACUAAAACUGGAAAGCGUUCAUAUACAAAGCUAUCAAAGGGUGCAAAAAUAUUCGGGAGAGCACUCAUAGUUUUCCAACUGGGCAUGAUAGUUUAUGAUACGUGUGAAUCAGAUCAUCCAGUUCAGACCGCGGUAGAGGAGUCAGCUGAAUUUGGUGCGUCGUUUGCUGCUGGGAUUGCGGGCGAGAUUAUAGGUACUGUUGCUGUAGAGUCUAUCUUUAUUGCGGCAGGAAUUGCUACCACAACUGCAUUAGCCUCUGUUGUUGUACUUGCUGCAUCGGUAGUAACUGGCAUCGGAUUAGCUGUCGCGGUCGGGGCCUUAACUGGUUUCUUAAUUACCAAGUUAUUCGAGUCUGGAGGUAAAACUCCUAAAGCUCCUAAAGCUCCUGCUACAGUUCCUAGUCUUAAGAAAAGUGUUGUUCGUCAUCCUGCCACUGAAAAUCUUGUCAUCCAUUUUGCCAAAAUGCCUGCUGCUGAACGCUUGGCUCGCCGACUUACUGCUGCCAGUGCAUAAGAAUUAAGAAGUCUCUUCUUCAGAGAUCGAUCUGUCACUUGAGCUUUCAAGAGUCCGGCCAGUCUUGCUCUAUCUAAUUUAAUCGUUUUGUUGUUAUCUCGAUCUGCUUGAAUUAAUAUUCUUAAUGUUCUUCUUUUUGUUUAUUUAAUUAAAAACUAUUUCAAUGGUGAGUAAUUUUAUUGAAUAAUUUUCAUAAUAUCAAGUCUAGCAGUCUAGCACUUGUAAGGUGAGAAUGCUGAACCAUAUCAAUUAAGUCUAGCACUCUCUCUGUUUCUUAAUAAUUGUAACAAUGUGACGGACAUAUUUUUCAAAGCGCGCACUAGUUUGACUGUAUCUAAUUAUACGCAA